Small nucleolar RNA from Oryctolagus cuniculus (rabbit), 137 nucleotides. The record is from Ensembl. NCBI's taxonomy places the organism in Eukaryota, Metazoa, Chordata, Mammalia, Lagomorpha, Leporidae.
UUGGCUCUGAAUCAAGACCAGCAUUUUGCUGAAGCUGUCGGUUUCAAGCAGGAGCCUAAAGAAAUGUCUUUCUGAGGUCUGUUGACUGUUUCAGAACUUCGGAAAUUUAAUGGUCAAUACAUUGGGAAGAAACAGCA